GGAAUUUUGGACAAUGGGCGCAAGCCUGAUCCAGCAAUGCCGCGUGAGUGAAGAAGGCCUUCGGGUUGUAAAGCUCUUUUGUCAGGGAAGAAACGGUGGAGGCUAAUAUCCUCUGCUAAUGACGGUACCUGAAGAAUAAGCACCGGCUAACUACGUGCCAGCAGCCGCGGUAAUACGUAGGGUGCAAGCGUUAAUCGGAAUUACUGGGCGUAAAGCGUGCGCAGGCGGUUUUGUAAGUCUGAUGUGAAAUCCCCGGGCUCAACCUGGGAAUUGCAUUGGAGACUGCAAGGCUAGAAUCUGGCAGAGGGGGGUAGAAUUCCACGUGUAGCAGUGAAAUGCGUAGAUAUGUGGAGGAACACCGAUGGCGAAGGCAGCCCCCUGGGUCAAGAUUGACGCUCAUGCACGAAAGCGUGGGGAGCAAACAGGAUUAGAUACCCGAG
This 440-nucleotide ribosomal RNA is filed under the name uncultured Janthinobacterium sp. Its description in RNAcentral is "bacterial SSU rRNA". It matches the Rfam family "Bacterial small subunit ribosomal RNA", at positions 358 to 790 of the family's 1533-position model. The record is from RNAcentral. Lineage: Bacteria; Pseudomonadati; Pseudomonadota; Betaproteobacteria; Burkholderiales; Oxalobacteraceae.